Molecule: ribosomal RNA, 497 nt
Filed under: uncultured bacterium
Lineage: Bacteria
Description: partial 16S ribosomal RNA
Rfam family: Bacterial small subunit ribosomal RNA
Source: RNAcentral
GAUGAACGCUGGCGGCGUGCCUAAUACAUGCAAGUCGAGCGAACAGACGAGGAGCUUGCUCCUCUGACGUUAGCGGCGGACGGGCGAGUAACACGUGGAUAACCUACCUAUAAGACGGGGAUAACUUCGGGAAACCGGAUCUAAUACCGGAUAAUAUAUUGAACCGCAUGGUUCAAUAGUGAAAGACGGUUUUGCUGUCACUUAUAGACGGAUCCGCGCCGCAUUAGCUAGUUGGUAAGGUAACGGCUUACCAAGGCAACGAUGCGUAGCCGACCUGAGAGGGUGAUCGGCCACACUGGAACUGAGACACGGUCCAGACUCCUACGGGAGGCAGCAGUAGGGAAUCUUCCGCAAAGGGCGAAAGCCUGACGGAGCAACGCCGCGUGAGUGAUGAAGGUCUUCGGAUCGUAAAACUCUGUUAUUAGGGAAGAACAAAUGUGUAAGUAACUAUGCACGUCUUGACGGUACCUAAUCAGAAAGCCACGGCUAACUACGUG